RNAcentral lists this ribosomal RNA (454 nucleotides) under uncultured bacterium. Its description in RNAcentral is "bacterial SSU rRNA". It matches the Rfam family "Bacterial small subunit ribosomal RNA", at positions 8 to 452 of the family's 1533-position model. The record is from RNAcentral.
AGAGUUUUGAUUCCNGGCUCAGGGAUGNAACGGCUAGCGGCAGGCUUUAACACUUGCAAGUCGAGGGGUUAUUUGGACUUCGGUUCCAGAGAGACCGGCAAACGGGUGCGGGAACACGUACACAACCUACCUUUUAUCAGGGGGAUAGCCCAUAGAAAUGUGGAUUAAUACCCCAUAGGAUCAUAUAAUGGCAUCAUUAAGUGAUUAAAGAACUUCGGAUAGAGAUGGGUGUGCGUAAGAUUAGCUAGUUGGUAGGGUAACGGCCUACCAAGGCGACGAUCUUUAGCUGAUGUGAGAGCAUGAUCAGCCACACGGGCACUGAGACACGGGCCCGACUCCUACGGGAGGCAGCAGUGAGGAAUAUUGGUCAAUGGACGGAAGUCUGAACCAGCCAUGCCGCGUGAAGGAUGAAGGCGUUCUGCGUUGUAAACUUCUUUUAUCUUGGGAAGAAACC